Molecule: ribosomal RNA, 489 nt
Filed under: uncultured bacterium
Lineage: Bacteria
Description: partial 16S ribosomal RNA
Rfam family: Bacterial small subunit ribosomal RNA
Source: RNAcentral
AUUGAACGCUGGCGGCAGGCCUAACACAUGCAAGUCGAACGGUAACAGGAAGCAGCUUGCUGCUUUGCUGACGAGUGGCGGACGGGUGAGUAAUGUCUGGGAAACUGCCCGAUGGAGGGGAAAACCACGGGAAAAGGGUGCCUAUAACGCAUUAACUCCUGAGGCCAAAAGGGGGGGGCUUAGGGUCGUCUGGCAUCGGGAGUGGCCCGGUGGGAUUAGCUAGUAGGUGGGGUGACGGCGCACCUAGGCGACGAUCCCUAGCUGGUUUGAGAGGAUGACCAGCCACACUGGAACUGAGACACGGUCCAGACUCCUACGGGAGGCAGCAGUGGGGAAUAUUGCACAAUGGGCGCAAGCCUGAUGCAGCCAUGCCGCGUGUAUGAAGAAGGCCUUCGGGUUGUAAAGUACUUUCAGCGGGGAGGAAGGGAGUAAAGUUAAUACCUUUGCUCAUUGACGUUACCCGCAGAAGAAGCACCGGCUAACUCCGUG